GACGAACGCUGGCGGCGUGCUUAACACAUGCAAGUCGAACGAAGAGCGAUGGAAGCUUGCUUCUAUCAAUCUUAGUGGCGAACGGGUGAGUAACGCGUAAUCAACCUGCCCUUCAGAGGGGGACAACAGUUGGAAACGACUGCUAAUACCGCAUACGAUCUAAACUCGGCAUCGAGGAUAGAUGAAAGGUGGCCUCUACAUGUAAGCUAUCACUGAAGGAGGGGAUUGCGUCUGAUUAGCUAGUUGGAGGGGUAACGGCCCACCAAGGCGAUGAUCAGUAGCCGGUCUGAGAGGAUGAACGGCCACAUUGGGACUGAGACACGGCCCAGACUCCUACGGGAGGCAGCAGUGGGGAAUCUUCCGCAAUGGACGAAAGUCUGACGGGGCAACGCCGCGUGAGUGAUGACGGCCUUCGGGUUGUAAAGCUCUGUUAAUCGGGACGAAAGGCCUUCUUGCGAAUAGUGAGAAGGAUUGACGGUACCGGAAUAGAAAGCCACGGCUAACUAUGUG
Molecule: ribosomal RNA, 510 nt
Filed under: uncultured bacterium
Lineage: Bacteria
Description: partial 16S ribosomal RNA
Rfam family: Bacterial small subunit ribosomal RNA
Source: RNAcentral